UACAGAGGGGGCAAGCGUUAUUCGGAAUUAUUGGGCGUAAAGGGCGCGUAGGCGGCAUGGCAAGUGGAUGGUGAAAUCCCUCGGCUUAACCGAGGAACUGCCGUCCAAACUGCUUCGCUUGAGACCGGGAGAGGUGAGUGGAAUUCCCAGUGUAGCGGUGAAAUGCGUAGAUAUUGGGAGGAACACCAGUGGCGAAGGCGGCUCACUGGACCGGUACUGACGCUGAUGUGCGAAAGCGUGGGGAGCAAACGGG
Molecule: ribosomal RNA, 253 nt
Filed under: uncultured bacterium
Lineage: Bacteria
Description: partial 16S ribosomal RNA
Rfam family: Bacterial small subunit ribosomal RNA
Source: RNAcentral